GGCGCGGGUAGGGCUGGGAGGCUCGCCACCUCCCCUCGCCGAAGGCGUAAUGCGGGGCCAGUAACCCCUUACCACGUAGUGGGCAGGCACUAACCGCUUCAAGACCAGCGAUGAAUCCCGCCCUGCGGGGUCGGCGGUGGCGGAGCACCUCCUGGAGGGGAGGUGUCAACCGCCUUUGCGGGGGGAACCUGGCCAGGCCCGGAAGGGAGCAACCUAACCUCCGACGCCGACGUUCGCAGGUCACCGGGUGGAGGACGGCUUGAAUGCCGGUUAGUGUCUGUCCCUACGUGGUAAGGGGAGCCGCGCC
This 307-nucleotide signal recognition particle RNA is filed under the name Zestosphaera tikiterensis. RNAcentral's name for it is "signal recognition particle sRNA". It matches the Rfam family "Archaeal signal recognition particle RNA". Lineage: Archaea; Thermoproteati; Thermoproteota; Thermoprotei; Desulfurococcales; Desulfurococcaceae. The record is from RNAcentral.